UUUCUUAGGGAAGAAUUCUGACGGUACCUAAGGAAUAAGCACCGGCUAACUCCGUGCCAGCAGCCGCGGUAAUACGGAGGGUGCAAGCGUUACUCGGAAUCACUGGGCGUAAAGGGCGCGUAGGCGGAUUAUCAAGUCUCUUGUGAAAUCUAAUGGCUUAACCAUUAAACUGCUUGGGAAACUGAUAGUCUAGAGUGAGGGAGAGGCAGAUGGAAUUGGUGGUGUAGGGGUAAAAUCCGUAGAUAUCACCAAGAAUACCCAUUGCGAAGGCGAUCUGCUGGAACUCAACUGACGCUAAGGCGCGAAAGCGUGGGGAGCAAACAGGAUUAGAUACCCUGGUAGUCCACGCCCUAAACGAUGUACACUAGUUGUUGGGGUGCUAGUCAUCUCAGUAAUGCAGCUAACGCAUUAAGUGUACCGCCUGGGGAGUACGGUCGCAAGAUUAAAACUCAAAGGAAUAGACGGGGACCCGCACAAGCGGUGGAGCAUGUGGUUUAAUUCGAAGAUACGCGAAGAACCUUACCUGGGCUUGAUAUCCUAAGAACCUUUUAGAGAUAAGAGGGUGCUAGCUUGCUAGAACUUAGAGACAGGUGCUGCACGGCUGUCGUCAGCUCGUGUCGUGAGAUGUUGGGUUAAGUCCCGCAACGAGCGCAACCCACGUAUUUAGUUGCUAACGGUUCGGCCGAGCACUCUAAAUAGACUGCCUUCGUAAGGAGGAGGAAGGUGUGGACGACGUCAAGUCAUCAUGGCCCUUAUGCCCAGGGCGACACACGUGCUACAAUGGCAUAUACAAUGAGACGCAAUACCGCGAGGUGGAGCAAAUCUAUAAAAUAUGUCCCAGUUCGGAUUGUUCUCUGCAACUCGAGAGCAUGAAGCCGGAAUCGCUAGUAAUCGUAGAUCAGCCAUGCUACGGUGAAUACGUUCCCGGGUCUUGUACUCACCGCCCGUCACACCAUGGGAGUUGAUUUCACUCGAAGCCGGAAUACUAAACUAGUUACCGUCCACAGUGGAAUCAGCGACUGGGGUGAAGUCGUAACAAGGUAACCGUAGGAGAACCUGCGGUUGGAUCACCUCCUUU
Molecule: ribosomal RNA, 1078 nt
Filed under: Campylobacter jejuni
Lineage: Bacteria; Pseudomonadati; Campylobacterota; Epsilonproteobacteria; Campylobacterales; Campylobacteraceae
Description: bacterial SSU rRNA
Rfam family: Bacterial small subunit ribosomal RNA
Source: RNAcentral